AGCAGCCGCGGUAAUUCCAGCUCCAAUAGCGUAUAUUAAAGUUGUUGCAGUUAAAAAGCUCGUAGUUGAAUUUCGGGAUCAUCAGGUUGGUCGUGCCUCUGGUAUGUACUUGCUUCGAUGGUCCCUCCUUCUUGAAGAACCGUAAUGCCAUUAAUUUGUUGUUGCGGGGAAACAGGACUGUUACUUUGAAAAAUUAGAGUGUUUAAAGCAGGCAAUCGCUUGAAUACAUUAGCAUGGAAUAAUGAAAUAGGACGUUCGAUCCUAUUUUGUUGGUUUCUAGGAUUGACGUAAUGAUUAAUAGGGAUAGUUGGGGGCAUUAGUAUUCAAUUGUCAGAGGUGAAAUUCUUGGAUUUAUUGAAGACUAACUACUGCGAAAGCAUUUGCCAAGGAUGUUUUCAUUAAUCAAGAACGAAAGUUAGGGGAUCGAAGACGAUCAGAUACCGUCGUAGU
This 450-nucleotide ribosomal RNA is filed under the name uncultured Glomus. Its description in RNAcentral is "SSU rRNA". It matches the Rfam family "Eukaryotic small subunit ribosomal RNA", at positions 569 to 1024 of the family's 1831-position model. Lineage: Eukaryota; Fungi; Glomeromycota; Glomeromycetes; Glomerales; Glomeraceae. The record is from RNAcentral.